CAGUGCCAGCCGCCGCGGUAAUACAGAGAGUGCGAGCGUUAAUCGGAAUCACUGGGCGUAAAGCGCGCGUAGGUUGAUAUUUAAGUCGGAUGUGAAAGCCCUGGGCUUAACUUAGGAAUUGCAUCCGAUACUGGAUGUCUCGAGUAUAGUAGAGGGAAGUGGAAUUUCCGGUGUAGCGGUGAAAUGCAUAGAUAUCGGAAAGAACACCAGUGGCGAAGGCGGCUUCCUGGACUAAUACUGACACUGAGGUGCGAAAGCGUGGGGAGCAAACAGGAUUAGAUACCCGUGUAGUCCUU
This 296-nucleotide ribosomal RNA is filed under the name uncultured Coxiella sp. RNAcentral's name for it is "partial 16S ribosomal RNA". It matches the Rfam family "Bacterial small subunit ribosomal RNA", at positions 503 to 798 of the family's 1533-position model. The record is from RNAcentral. Lineage: Bacteria; Pseudomonadati; Pseudomonadota; Gammaproteobacteria; Legionellales; Coxiellaceae.